This 399-nucleotide ribosomal RNA is filed under the name uncultured bacterium. Its description in RNAcentral is "bacterial SSU rRNA". It matches the Rfam family "Bacterial small subunit ribosomal RNA", at positions 355 to 744 of the family's 1533-position model. The record is from RNAcentral.
UAGGGAAUCUUCGGCAAUGGACGAAAGUCUGACCGAGCAACGCCGCGUGAGUGAAGAAGGUUUUCGGAUCGUAAAACUCUGUUGUUAGAGAAGAACAAGGAUGAGAGUAAAACGUUCAUCCCUUGACGGUAUCUAACCAGAAAGCCACGGCUAACUACGUGCCAGCAGCCGCGGUAAUACGUAGGUGGCAAGCGUUGUCCGGAUUUAUUGGGCGUAAAGCGAGCGCAGGCGGUUUCUUAAGUCUGAUGUGAAAGCCCCCGGGCUCAACCGGGGAGGGUCAUUGGAAACUGGGAAACUUGAGUGCAGAAGAGGAGAGUGGAAUUCCAUGUGUAGCGGUGAAAUGCGUAGAUAUAUGGAGGAACACCAGUGGCGAAGGCGGCUCUCUGGUCUGUAACUGAC